This 414-nucleotide ribosomal RNA is filed under the name uncultured bacterium. RNAcentral's name for it is "bacterial SSU rRNA". It matches the Rfam family "Bacterial small subunit ribosomal RNA", at positions 29 to 423 of the family's 1533-position model. The record is from RNAcentral.
AACGAACGUUGGCGGCGUGGAUGAGGCAUGCAAGUCGAACGCGAAAGCCGCAAGGCGAGUAAAGUGGCGGACGGGCGAGUAACACGUAAUCAAGCUACCUGCGAGACGGGGAUAACUUCGGGAAACCGAAGCUAAGACCCGAUGGUCUUCUAGGAACGCAUGUUCCAUGAAGUAAAUGGGCGGGAUCCUCCGGGAUCGCCUGCUCGCAGAGGUGAUUGCGGCCCAUCAGCUAGUUGGUAGGGUAAUGGCCUACCAAGGCAACGACGGGUAGCCGGCCUUAGAGGGUGGUCGGCCGCACUGGGACGUGAGACACUGCCCAGACUCCUACGGGAGGCUGCAGUCGAGAAAUCUUCCGCAAUAGGGCGGAAAGACCUGACGGAGCGACGCCGCGUGGAGGAGUGAAGGACCGUCGUG